This 221-nucleotide ribosomal RNA is filed under the name uncultured bacterium. RNAcentral's name for it is "partial 16S ribosomal RNA". It matches the Rfam family "Bacterial small subunit ribosomal RNA", at positions 524 to 776 of the family's 1533-position model. The record is from RNAcentral.
UACGUAAAAGACUAGUGUUAUUCAUCUUUAAUAGGUUUAAAGGGUACCUAGACGGUAUUAUUAGCCCAAAAUAGGGUACUAUUUUACUAGAGUUUUAUAUGAGAAGGAAGUAUUUAUGGAGGAAAGAUAAAGUAUUAUGAUACCUUAAAGACUGGCAUGGCGAAAGCAACCUUCAUCUAAUAACUGACGUUGAGGGACGAAGGCCGUGGGGAGCAAACAGG